Molecule: unclassified non-coding RNA, 3373 nt
Filed under: Hevea brasiliensis (rubber tree)
Lineage: Eukaryota; Viridiplantae; Streptophyta; Magnoliopsida; Malpighiales; Euphorbiaceae
Source: RNAcentral
CCCUCUUUCCCUCCAAUUUUAACUCUUUGCAAGGUUUUUUGAAAGAUGUCUUUUAGCCAUCUUUCAAGCAAACUGUUAACAAAAGAACCAUAUCCUUCUAAUACCUCUUCUAAUAUCCUCUCUUCAAUGCUAAAACCAUUUACAUUUUGUUCACCAAAUACCUCCCCCAUACACCUCUUUAUCUUGGACGAGAAAACCUCUGCCAUCUCCCUGUCCUGAGCCUGAUUUCUAUUAAAAACAUACCUGUUCUUUAUCAUAUCAAGAAACCCAGUUGAAGUAACAGGAUCAGAGGUGGUUUCACGAGUUAAAUCGCUCGAUAUGGGGCUAAACUCCCCUUGUUUUUCUUCACUUUCAUCGUCUUCAUUGGCCUUGAUGUUGAGAUCAAGUGUGUUGAAGCUUGACUGCCUUGAGAAGUCUUUUUUCACGUUUCCAUUUUCAAUUUCUUUGUUUUCACUGAUUCUUGGACUCUUGGUCUUGCUUGAAAUGUCCCACUCAGCUUUUCUCUUAUGAUCCUUGUUGGUUGGAGUUUUUUCCUCCACCUCCAAGGUCAUCCUGAUAACAGAAUCUUGAUCCAUCUUUCCAUCUUCAUAGCUCAUGAAAUGGCCACCUGUUGUUAAAAUGAAUAUUGCUUGGCUAAUGUUCCCUGAUUCUCCAAAUUUUCCAGUUUCAAAUCCAUUAGCAAGGAGUUUCAUGAACUGCGUAUCAGCAAAAUCAACAUCUUCCACCAAAGCAACAAUCUUCUCUUGAUUUCUUAAAGUUUUUUCUAUUGUCUCUGAAUAUGUGGCUUCAUUAUCCUUUUUCCUCAUGUUCAUGCAGAGUAGAAAAUCAACAGACCCCAAAACAGACUCUGCAAUUGCAAGGGCCAAUCUUCUUUUUCCUAGAGCGUCAUUGCCUUGGAUAAGUAGCCAAGUCCCUUUUCCAGUUGAUUUGGAUUCAAUCAAAGCUUCUACUAUAGAAUGAAUGAUUUCAGAUUGCCAGGGCACAUUCUCUUGCAAUAACUUACACAAAUUACUCCUCCCUCUGUCUCUAUCCCCACCAUCAGAGGGUAAAGAAUUGCCAAGGGCAAGUGUGAUCUUGUCUUCCUUACCCCGAGUGUUCUUGAAAGAAUCCAGGUUUGGUUCUCCUGACUGUAAUUGCUUUUGGGUUCCAUUGCCAAAGUUGAAAUCAAUAGUGCAAGAUUGUUGACGUCUAAAUUUAGGCACAAGAUUGGAGGUCUGGUUAGGCUUCAAAACUAAGUCUGCGAAGGAGACUGGAUUUGAAUCUGGGAAGAUGUUUUGGCUCGGCCACCAAGGGCAUGAUGAAGCAUAUGAAUGGCUCUUCUCAAUUAGCCAUUGAUUAUUUUUGUUGCUGUUGUACAAGGUAUUGGAACCCAAAUGGCUUUGAAUUUGCCUUCCUUGGUGGUGUUGGCCCUGGCAGAAUCCAUUCCAUUUUCUUCUCAACUCAACCAAUUCAUCCUUUUGAUUGGCACUAGUGCCUUGUGGAUUAAGCCAAGGAGGUAAAUUUUUCUGUUGCCCUGAUUUGAAGAGUUGAGCCUCUUUUUCACAACUGGAGGUGCAUUCUGGACAGCAAGUUAGCUUAUCUUGCUCUUCCUUGCCAUUGCUAAUGAAGGGUUUUGUUUCUAGUAAUUGAGAUGGGUUUUGGGAGAAAGUUAACCUUGAUUCAUUGAUACUGGUACCAUGGAGGCUCAAACCAAGUCCUCCUGAGGGAACUGAAACAGCUUGAAGUGCCCAUUGAAUCUCCAGAGGAGGUUGCCUCAUCUGGCACCUCAUGUAUGUCUGAUAACUUGCAGUAGCCAUUAACCACACCUUAGUGUUUGAGCUGCUAUAUUCUGAGAUUAAUCUUCCUAUUUCUGCCACGAGAUGAUCAACUGGACUAUAACCUGCUGCAGCUGAGUCCUCUCCAUUCAUUACACUUUCUUCAAUUGUCCACUUCAGGUCUCCUGUAUAGAUAAUGGCCCCACCUUCUCCAGCAGAAUCCACUCUCCUUUUCAGUUGAGAGAUAUUCAUUUCCACAUCUUCUUUCUUCAUGAACCUCAAAGAAACUGGCGAAAAUUGAAAUUUAACAAACUGGAUUUGUUUCAAUUCCACUGGAACCUCUCCUCUCUCUACCCUUCCCAUCAGUUCUCCAACAAGUCCUUCCGUUAUGGACACACAGUCACCUACUAUCACAGUAUUCUUUCUCUUCUUUCUUAAGAAAACCUCCAAUACCAACUUGAUAUCUUCCUUCACAGAAUUUGAUUCAGUGAAAUAGUUGCUUGAGAGCUUCUUUUGUGGAGAAAAGAGAAAAGGAUUUUUCUCAGAAGAGUAAGAUAAGAAAUGGGUUUGCCAGAAAGUAGUAGGGUUUAUGAUCUCUCUCUGAGUUUCACCAGGAGAAGGUGAACAAGGUGAAGAGAAAACACCACCACCUGUAGUGGUGUAACACUGAAACACAGAAGAAGCUGAAGAGUCCUCUAUAUUGUUCUUCACAGCAGUACUAGAGAACCCAGCUUCUCUCAUAACCCUACUAACGCUAGGAUCAUCUAAAAUAGAAAUUAUAAGCUGUUCUAACUCUACCUUGAUGGUCAAGAGAGGUUGUUGUUGCUGUUGCUCUAUGCAGCCUCUUCUCUGAUGAGCUUGUGCUCGUUUGAGUGCAGCAAUCAGAGCAUUGGAAAGAGAGGGCUGGCCAUGAAGUAAAGGACCAGGAGUUGUUGGUAGCCUGUUGAGCGCAACAUUGAAGCAAAGCUCAAGAGCUCUGCAUUGAAGAGGAUGAGAAGAUUGGUGAGGCUGAGAUUUGAGACAAGCCCUUCUCAAAAGACUAGCUCUUGAGCUUAGCAAGGUAGCAGCCACAUGAAGAGGAGUGACCUGAGCAUGGCCUCUCCUCCUUGCCAAGCUAAGAGAAUGCUUCAAGACUGAAGCAGCCUCUGUGGUGAGGGUCUGCUGGACCGUACAAGCUCCUGAGCGCAUUACUUGGCCAAAACCCACCCCCCACACCACCCCCUUUGUUUGAGCACCACUAGUUCUUGCAGGAUCAAAACUUCUUCUCUCUUUCUUUCUUCUCGUAUCCUCUCUCUUCCCCUAACACCACCCCUAACCCUCUCUUUUGUCUCUUCGAAGUGAUCUAGAGACUGAACCAAGCUUUGGUAUCAAAAGCUGGUUAGCUUCCUUUCCUGUAUGAUUACAGCAAACAGAAAACCACCUACCUGAUAAGCUCAAAUGGAAAAUAUCAAAAAUAUAUAUAUGUGCAGUCAGAUUUUCUGAAAGGGAAGCUCUUAGAGAGAUCUUAGUAGAGUUUUAGAGACCAGAACACCUUCUUUAUACUUCUUGUAGUUGAUAUUUUCCUUUUUCUUUUUAAUCUUUUCCUUUUUCUUUUUAUAUACACAAAUAUAGUAAGAAUU